GACGAAGGGGGCUAGCGUUGUUCGGAAUUACUGGGCGUAAAGCGCGUGUAGGCGGUUAUCCAAGUCGGGUGUGAAAGCCUUGAGCUCAACUCAAGAAAUGCACUCGGUACUGGGUGACUAGAGGACCGGAGAGGAUAGUGGAAUUCCCAGUGUAGUGGUGAAAUACGUAGAGAUUGGGAAGAACACCAGUGGCGAAGGCGGCUUACUGGACCGGUUCUGACGCUGAGG
This 228-nucleotide ribosomal RNA is filed under the name uncultured bacterium. RNAcentral describes it as "partial 16S ribosomal RNA". It matches the Rfam family "Bacterial small subunit ribosomal RNA", at positions 524 to 751 of the family's 1533-position model. The record is from RNAcentral.